GAUGAAGAACGUAGCGAAAUGCGAUAAGUAAUGUGAAUUGCAGAAUUCAGUGAAUCAUCGAAUCUUUGAACGCACAUUGCGCCGGCCAGUAUUCUGGCGGGCAUGCCUGUUCGAGCGUCAUUACAACCCUCAGGCCCCCGGGCCUGGCGUUGGGGAUCGGCGGAGCCCCCCGUGGGCACACGCCGUCCCCCAAAUGCAGUGGCGGUCCCGCCGCAGCUUCCAUCGCGUAGUAGCUAACACCUCGCGCCUGGAGAGCGGCGCGGCCACGCCGUAAAACACCCAACUCUUCUGAAGUUGACCUCGAAUCAGGUAGGAAUACCCGCUGAACUUAAGCAUAUCAAUAAGCGGAGGA
RNAcentral lists this unclassified non-coding RNA (352 nucleotides) under soil metagenome. RNAcentral's name for it is "partial contains 5.8S ribosomal RNA, internal transcribed spacer 2, and large subunit ribosomal RNA". The stretch from base 1 to 120 matches the Rfam family "5.8S ribosomal RNA", at positions 35 to 154 of the family's 154-position model. The record is from RNAcentral.